This is a long non-coding RNA of Peromyscus maniculatus bairdii (prairie deer mouse), 578 nucleotides long. RefSeq lists it as uncharacterized. The record is from RefSeq and is a predicted model, not a curated record. NCBI's taxonomy places the organism in Eukaryota, Metazoa, Chordata, Mammalia, Rodentia, Cricetidae.
CAUUUUGGAAAUGGGCAGGAAGUCAGGCCUGUCGUCACAGUAGCGAGGGAGAAUGAAGCUAAGGCGGUCAUAUUUGAAGUGGUUAAGAAGCCUCAACAGGUGACGUCGGCAACAAGAUAGCGCAGAGAUUGAAGCAAAGAGACAGAUCCAAUGAAAUUUGAAAGUAGCCUGAAAUCUGACAGAACUGUGUGGAAGGCAGCUUCUGGGAAAUAACUGUGUCCAUGAGGAAAUGAGACUAAGGGCCACAAGCCAUGCUGCUUCUUCCGCUAUACCUUCCCCACCACAUUUGAGGGAUUCUUCAAAAUGAACUCUCACUCCCUCAGAGGAGGGGUGGUUGUGGAAAAGUACAUGAAAUGACCACACUGAUACCCUAGAGAUUGAUUGUUCACUGUGUUUAUAAUGUAUUGAGAUUUAUCCCCUCAUUGAACUACUGGCUUCAAAAUGACUUUCAUAUGACAUCAAGUUUUGGGAAAAUGCUGAAUUGUUUGGAGUUUGGAUUUACUAUGUGGACACAUCAUACACAAAUAAUAACAAUAAUAAAUAAAAUAAAAUUAAGAAAAGCCAGGCAGGUGGUGGUG